CACCCAGCCAUGGAAAUGGCUGGCAGAGCAGCAACCCGGUGAGCAGGGCAAUGCUGGGGAGGGCAGCAUAGGCAACCAGGGCACGUGGCUGCUUCUUCCUUGCUUCCCAUCUGCCUUGCAGAUGGGCACCCACAUGAAGAUGGAGCCAGGGCAGGAUGAGGAAACCUGGGCCUGCAGGGAAGGGCAACACAGGUGGCUAUUUUCCAGCCUGUGUCUUCAUCUGGACAAGGCACCAACUGAAGCUUGAGGAAAGCCCAUGCCACACUCUGCACUGCACUGUGGUCCUACAAGAUCUCGGGAUCUGCACUGCAUGGACAGAGGAAGCUCCACAACACCUCUCAGCUACGGUCCCCACCAUGGACUUGCACACAUCAUCUCAAGGAACCAUAUGGACAUGUCUACAAUUGACCCUUGAAGAUAAGGAACAAACAAGAAGAUAA
This 440-nucleotide long non-coding RNA is filed under the name Meleagris gallopavo (turkey). RNAcentral's name for it is "lncRNA (ENSMGAG00000018220.1)". Lineage: Eukaryota; Metazoa; Chordata; Aves; Galliformes; Phasianidae. The record is from RNAcentral.